GCGCAGCGGCGUAUACAAUCUUUGGUCAGCAGCGCGGAUAUACGCAGUUCACUUUGCUGCAUACCACCAAAUCUCCAGUGACUGUAACGUCAUAAUACAGGCAAACAGGGCCGGCCUAGGCUAGCUACGUCGACGUAACGACUGAAUAAGGCUGUGCAAACAUCACAGAUCAUCAUGGAGUUUCCAAAUCUUGGAGAAAAUUGCUUUGUUAAAACCUGUAAGCAACUAGCAUGGUAGGCAUCUUGCAACAAUGAGGUCAGGUUAGAGGAGCAAUCUCUACCGGGGAUGAAACCAUGCAGCUGCUCAGCGACGGCAGGCUAGACAAUUGAUCAGUACGUAAACCUUGUUUAUGUUUCAAGCAAAUAACAUGAAAGUCUUGCACAAAUACACGUUCAUAUUCAGGCUGUUCACAACUUUUUAUUGUAAACAGAUACCUUAUACACACCCUUCCUGUUUAUUGUGAGUGUCCUUGACAACAAGUGUCAGUAGUCUCAUCUUUUUUAUUUAGAACAUGUCUCCCAAUUUACAGAAAGUAUCGUCAUGUGGCCAACUGUCGGGUGAUGUGAUGGUGUUGGGGUUAUAUUGGACGUCACAAUAGAGUCCCGCUCCCAUCAUGUGUCAUCGAAAAGGUCAGGCUAACGUACUCAAAUGCUGAAGGCCAGUACAAGGGUCACCGGUACCCACCUCUUGAUUGCAACACAUGAAUGCUUGAACUGUUCCUCCUUUCUCGGGAUAAAUAAUGUUAUUUUUCGGGAUAAAUGAUAAAGUUAAUGCCUAAAUAUUUGUGAUCUUCAAACUUCACUUAAGACAUGUUUUCUCAAACCUUGUCAGUUUUAUGCGAAUGAACAAUCCUUGUACGUGUAUUCAACAAGGGUCUUUCAUUAUUCAACUUGGAUUUGUUGGCCUAUUGCCAUCAACAGAAUUGUUAAAAGUACCUGUAUUUUCAUUAAACUGCAUUUAGCAUUCCAAAAUUUUCACAAUGGAUUGUUACUGCACCUGUCUUGAAAUUGUCUGGUUACACCCAGGACUGGAGCGCAAGUUUUGUUUUUGAACUGCUUAUCAUAACCUGGAUGUGACUGAAAUGGAUUUUGCUUUCACAGGAAAUUCUUUUAUUUCCCACAUUAGAGAUUAAAAGCACAUGUGGAAAGAGGAAAACCCUGAUUUAUUCAUUAUUUGGUUACUACUUGCACAAGUAUUAAAUGAUUGAAUUACUGUAGGUAGACUCUGUUUCUUUUCAAAUUUCCCAUUAAUUUUGCACAAGUUGUGAUGGAGUGCUCUCCCUGCCACCCCCCCAAAAACAAGAUUGGGAAGAAUUCCAUUUCAAAGUUCACCAAUUAUUCUCCUUGUUGA
Long non-coding RNA from Acanthaster planci (crown-of-thorns starfish), 1350 nucleotides. Lineage: Eukaryota; Metazoa; Echinodermata; Asteroidea; Valvatida; Acanthasteridae. The record is from RefSeq and is a predicted model, not a curated record.